UGGGGAAUAUUGGGCAAUGGACGCAAGUCUGACCCAGCAACGCCGCGUGAAGGAAGAAGGCUUUCGGGUUGUAAACUUCUUUUAAGGGGGAAGAGCAGAAGACGGUACCCCUUGAAUAAGCCACGGCUAACUACGUGCCAGCAGCCGCGGUAAUACGUAGGUGGCAAGCGUUGUCCGGAUUUACUGGGUGUAAAGGGCGUGCAGCCGGAGAGGCAAGUCAGAUGUGAAAUCCGCGGGCUCAACUCGCGAACUGCAUUUGAAACUGCUUCCCUUGAGUAUCGGAGAGGUAAUCGGAAUUCCUAG
RNAcentral lists this ribosomal RNA (303 nucleotides) under uncultured bacterium. RNAcentral describes it as "bacterial SSU rRNA". It matches the Rfam family "Bacterial small subunit ribosomal RNA", at positions 355 to 673 of the family's 1533-position model. The record is from RNAcentral.